RNAcentral lists this ribosomal RNA (588 nucleotides) under Diaporthe sp. T1. RNAcentral describes it as "eukaryotic LSU rRNA". The stretch from base 215 to 368 matches the Rfam family "5.8S ribosomal RNA". Lineage: Eukaryota; Fungi; Ascomycota; Sordariomycetes; Diaporthales; Diaporthaceae. The record is from RNAcentral.
UCCGUAGGUGAACCUGUGGAGGGAUCAUUGCUGGAACGCGCCCCAGGCGCACCCAGAAACCCUUUGUGAACUUAUACCUUACUGUUGCCUCGGCGAAGGCUGGCCCCCCCCGGGGGGCCCCUCACCCUCACGGGUGUUGAGACAGCCCGCCGGCGGCCAAGUUAACUCUUGUUUUUACACUGAAACUCUGAGAAAUAAAACAUAAAUGAAUCAAAACUUUCAACAACGGAUCUCUUGGUUCUGGCAUCGAUGAAGAACGCAGCGAAAUGCGAUAAGUAAUGUGAAUUGCAGAAUUCAGUGAAUCAUCGAAUCUUUGAACGCACAUUGCGCCCUCUGGUAUUCCGGAGGGCAUGCCUGUUCGAGCGUCAUUUCAACCCUCAAGCCUGGCUUGGUGAUGGGGCACUGCUUUUACCUAAAAGCAGGCCCUGAAAUUCAGUGGCGAGCUCGCCAGGACCCCGAGCGCAGUAGUUAAACCCUCGCUCUGGAAGGCCCUGGCGGUGCCCUGCCGUUAAACCCCCAACUUCUGAAAAUUUGACCUCGGAUCAGGUAGGAAUACCCGCUGAACUUAAGCAUAUCAAUAAGCGGAGG